Molecule: ribosomal RNA, 477 nt
Filed under: uncultured bacterium
Lineage: Bacteria
Description: partial 16S ribosomal RNA
Rfam family: Bacterial small subunit ribosomal RNA
Source: RNAcentral
AUUGAACGCUGGCGGCAUGCCUUACACAUGCAAGUCGAACGGUAACAGGUUAAGCUGACGAGUGUCGAACGGGUGAGUAAUGUAUCGGAACGUGCUCAGUCGUGGGGGAUAACUGCUCGAAAGAGCAGCUAAUACCGCAUACGACCUGAGGGUGAAAGCGGGGGAUCGCAAGACCUCGCGCGAUUGGAGCGUCCGAUAUCAGAUUAGGUAGUUGGUGAGGUAAAGGCUCACCAAGCCGACGAUCUGUAGCUGGUCUGAGAGCACGACCAGCCACACUGGGACUGAGACACGGCCCAGACUCCUACGGGAGGCAGCAGUGGGGAAUUUUGGACAAUGGGCGCAAGCCUGAUCCAGCCAUGCCGCGUGGGGGAAGAAGGCCUUCGGGUUGUAAACCGCUUUUGUCAGGGAAGAAAAGGUUCUGGCUAAUACCUGGGACUCAUGACGGUACCUGAAGAAUAAGCACCGGCUAACUACGUG